CCGAGUUGAGGAUGAGCAUCCGACCGUUAUUCUAGAAAUGAACGGUCUUGAUCAAAAUUGUAUCCCCUUGUUUAUGAGCUCUUCCACUUGAUCACAUUGUUCAGUGGUAUCGCUGGUAUCGCCGCCCCAACCCCGCACCUACGCCGCUACGCCGCCCGCGUCCGCCACCACCUCCUAUCUCCACAUCGCAGCUCCACCCGAAGGGAUGCCACUGAUUACUCGCAGGCUCCCUACUCUCCGGUCGUCUCCUUCGACCCCGAUCCCUCUUCGCAACCCGUUGUCUUCUUCCCACGCCGCGAGCCAUUGGAGGAUGGGGAGGAAGCACAGCAAGCCUCGCUCGAUCAGCUGUACCGUCCGGUUCCGCCCCUGCAUCGACUUCCACAAGUAUAUUUUCAGCGAUGGGAAGAUGGACCCUGAGCGACUUAAACAUCUUGUCAAUAUGAUUGGCAAGAAUAGACUUGUGUUGGAUCUUAGCUGCAGAAAGAAGGUAUACUAUUUUCUUUGCUAGUAAUUGUAGCAUGGACUUGUAUGCAAUUGAUGUUCUGAUUUUGGAAACCUAUUUGAGGAAAAGAGGGAAUUUAAGGAGAAAGUUGACAUUAGAUUCUCCAAUAUCCUGAUGGUUUCUCAAUUUGAGAGCAACCUAGUAAUACUGAGUCUGCAUGGAAGACAUGGUUGUUUUUCUCUUUCUUCCACAUUUCUAAUUGCUCCAUGUCAUUAAAGGCAUCCAGGUUUAGAGCUUUUGACGGAUAGCUGCAAAGGUCAUGGUGAGGGGAAGGUAGUGGCAGGGAAAGAUAAAAGAGAAAGAGAAAAGAAGGGAAUGUAAUGUUGCCAGAACUUACAUUUGCUUUAUUCACUAGCAUGGUUUUUAGAAUUUGUGGCUGGAGAUGAGCACUACUACUACAUUGGCAUAUGACUGAAUACAAGAGUUGAUUGAGAUGAGGAUUCUCUCUAAUGAGAUCCACAGUAGUAGAUAUAGUGAUGGUAUGUUGCACUGCAAUUAUUUGUGAUUUUUGUUGAUUGACAUGACAGUUAAAAUCCUCAAGAACCAAGUAAGACAACUAGUUACAAAGUUGGAAAGAACCAAGGAAAUGAGCAAUGACUCCAAGGUGAGAUAUGUGAAUACCAAUCCAAAAUUGAUUGAAUGUGACUCUGAUAUAACUCAAGUCUCUGUUGGGAAUUCACUUAUGGGUGGUUUGUCAAGUGAAGAUUUCUAUGCAAGGAAGUUGUGAGAUUGUAAGAGUAUAUAUCUGGAGAUGCUCCGUGUAGUUACUCUGCACACCUCAAAGAUUUGGGACGUUAUUAUUCAAGACAUAAAGAAAAAAGAAUUUCUGCAUAUCUUCCCAAUAAUCUUGAUGAACUUGGAAGUUCUAUCACUUCUACAACUCAUGCACAGAUUCUCUGUAGAGAUGGAACAACUGAUGUCAAAAUUCAGAACACAUCUCAAUAAAGAUGAUUGAUAUUCUUAUGAUCCUA
Musa acuminata AAA Group (dessert banana) is the source of this 1473-nucleotide long non-coding RNA. RefSeq lists it as uncharacterized. NCBI's taxonomy places the organism in Eukaryota, Viridiplantae, Streptophyta, Magnoliopsida, Zingiberales, Musaceae. The transcript is spliced from 2 exons. The record is from RefSeq and is a predicted model, not a curated record.